This 253-nucleotide ribosomal RNA is filed under the name uncultured bacterium. RNAcentral describes it as "partial 16S ribosomal RNA". It matches the Rfam family "Bacterial small subunit ribosomal RNA", at positions 524 to 776 of the family's 1533-position model. The record is from RNAcentral.
UACGUAGGGCGCAAGCGUUGUCCGGAAUUAUUGGGCGUAAAGGGCGCGUAGGCGGCCCUCCUUGUCGCGUGUGAAAGCCCCGGGCUCAACCUGGGAAUUGCGCGCGAAACAGGAGGGCUUGAGUUCGGGAGAGGAGCGUGGAAUUCUCAGUGUAGAGGUGAAAUUCGUAGAUAUUGGGAAGAACACCGGUGGCGAAGGCGGCGCUCUGGACCGAGACUGACGCUGAGGCGCGAAAGCGUGGGGAGCAAACAGG